CAGCAGUCUCCGUGUGAGUGCGCGUAGUCGCGCGCCUGUCCCCGCGCGGGCUCCGUAGCGCGUGUGCAGGCUGACGCAGCUCGCGGGCCCUCCUCCUGCUCUGCAGCGGCGUCGGCGGAGUUUUGGGCGUUUGGGAGGGGGGCGAGGGAGAGAGAGUCGAGAGAGGAAGGCGGCGGCGGCGGCGGCGGGGAGGAGGAGGAGGAGGAGCAGGCGCCGCCAUGGCCGCCGCUAUCACCGACAUGGCCGACCUGGAGGAGCUCUCCCGCCUGAGCCCUCUGCCCCCCGGUAGCCCGGGUUCGGCGGCGCGGGGCCGGACUGAGCCCCCCGAGGAGGAGGAGGAAGAGGAGGAGGAGGAAGAGGAGGCGGAGGCCGAGGCGGUGGCGGCGCUGCUGCUGAACGGCGGCAGCGGUGGGGGCGGCGGAGGCGGCGGCGGAGGAGUGGGGGGCGGCGAGGCAGAGGCGAUGUCGGAGCCGAGCCCCGAGAGCGCCAGCCAGGCCGGGGAGGACGAAGACGAGGAGGAGGACGACGAGGAGGAGGAAGAUGAGAGCAGCAGCAGCGGCGGGGGUGAGGAGGAGAGUAGCGCCGAGAGCCUGGUUGGCAGCAGCGGCGGGAGCAGCAGCGACGAGACCCGCUCGUUGAGCCCCGGCGCCGCCAGCAGCAGCAGCGGGGAUGGGGACGGCAAGGAGGGCCUGGAGGAGCCCAAGGGACCGCGGGGCAGCCAGGGCGGCGGCGGGGGCGGCAGCAGUAGCAGCAGCGUAGUCUCCAGCGGCGGCGACGAGGGCUACGGGACUGGGGGAGGCGGAAGCAGCGCGACCUCCGGGGGCCGGCGAGGCAGCUUGGAGAUGUCGUCGGAUGGGGAACCCCUGAGCCGCAUGGACUCGGAGGACAGCAUAAGCAGUACUAUAAUGGAUGUAGACAGCACAAUUUCCAGUGGGCGUUCAACUCCAGCAAUGAUGAAUGGACAAGGAAGCACUACUUCUUCAAGCAAAAAUAUUGCCUAUAAUUGUUGUUGGGACCAGUGCCAGGCUUGCUUCAACUCUAGCCCAGAUCUGGCAGAUCACAUCCGUUCCAUACAUGUAGAUGGUCAGCGAGGAGGGGUAUUUGUUUGCUUAUGGAAAGGUUGUAAAGUAUAUAACACUCCAUCUACCAGUCAAAGUUGGUUACAAAGGCAUAUGCUGACACACAGUGGAGACAAACCUUUCAAGUGUGUUGUUGGUGGCUGCAAUGCCAGCUUUGCUUCUCAGGGAGGGCUAGCUCGUCAUGUACCCACACACUUCAGUCAGCAGAACUCCUCAAAAGUUUCUAGCCAGCCAAAGGCCAAAGAAGAAUCUCCUUCUAAAGCUGGAAUGAACAAAAGGAGGAAAUUAAAGAACAAAAGACGACGCUCAUUACCACGGCCACAUGAUUUCUUCGAUGCACAAACACUGGAUGCGAUAAGACAUCGAGCCAUAUGCUUUAACCUCUCAGCUCAUAUAGAAAGUUUAGGGAAGGGACACAGUGUUGUUUUUCAUAGUACUGUAAUAGCUAAGAGAAAAGAAGAUUCUGGGAAGAUCAAACUUUUGCUUCAUUGGAUGCCUGAAGACAUUCUGCCUGAUGUGUGGGUGAAUGAAAGUGAACGACAUCAGUUAAAAACUAAAGUAGUUCAUUUAUCAAAGCUACCCAAAGAUACUGCCUUGCUUUUGGACCCAAACAUAUACAGAACAAUGCCGCAGAAGAGGUUGAAGAGAUGGAGUUUCACUCUUGUUGCCCAGGCUGGUGUGCAAUGGCGCGAUCUUGGCUCACCGCAACCUCCGCUUCCCGGGUUCAAGCGAUUCUUCUGCCUCAGCUUCCUGAGUAGCUGGGAUUAAAGACACCCGCCACCACGCCCGGCUAAUUUUGUAUUUUAAGUAGAGACGGGGUUUCACCAUAUUGACCAGGCUGGUCUCAAACUCCCGACCUCAGGUGAUCUGCCCACCUCGGCCUCCCAAAGUGCUGGGAUUACAGGCGUGAGCCACCGUGCCCAGCCAAGUUUAAUUUUUACACCAAUGAUUCAUUUCUGCUUUUACAGCCUUCUUUGGCUUUCUGACAAGAGCAACUGCUGAGCAGAAGCACUUCAGCCUCGUCUGGCAUUUGAUGAAUUUGAUUAAUGUGUGCUAUGGUAAGUCUAUUCCCCUGUAUAAUUUUAUGGGAGAGGUCAUGUGCAAGUCUGAAUUUAAAAAAAAGAAAAGAAAAAGCCUUGUGCAGAAUUAUUACCUACUCAAUACAUUAUAUAUAUGCCAGAGAUGGCUAAAGCAGCUGUAUGUCAAGGUCUGCAAAAACAUGAAGAAGCUGGCAUGGAAAUUAACACGUUGGUGGUCUGCAAUGUGUUCAAAGUUGAUGUUUCUAAUGACACUUAAAAAAUAGUUAAAAUAUGUAAUGGCUGAUUUCUGACCAGACUAAACUCUCAGCCUGUCUAAUGUUAGGCAGCUUGAUCUAAUCAAUUUCAUCCUUUUCUUUUCCUCAGUCCAAUCUUGCAAUUGCUAUGUCAGUUUCAGUUCACAACAAUACCAGUGCAGACAUGGCGCCUUAAGAUUUUCUCCUUUUCCCUCACGCGGGUCCCAAUUCUAAAUUCCCAAGGGCUGACAUGAUUGACAUUUGCUAUAGCCUGAGGAGGGAGCAUUUCCUUUUGUGGUCUUUCCUUGGUUUGUUUUAUUGGGCAGUGAAUGGCAAGUCUGUCUGUGUUUCUUUGCUUCACCCCAAACACCUUGGCAAAAAUGAAAGCCUUCUAAUUUAGCUGUGUCCUCCUUUACUUAUGUCAGGAAGCCUGAGCCAUAACCUUUGAUUAAAAAAAUUUUUUUUUGUUUUUUGUUUUUGAGACAGGGUCUUGCUCUGUCACCCAGGCUGAAAUGCGGUGGCACGACUACAGCUCAUUGCAGCCUUGACCUCACUGGAGUGUAGUGGCAUGACGGCAGCUCACUGCAGUCCCUAGUAGCUGGCACUUACAGGCAAGUGCCACCAUGCCUGGCUAAUUUUUAAAUUUUUUGUAGAAACAGGGUCUUGCUGGCUGUGCACGGUGGCUCACACCUGUAAUCCCAGCACUUUGGGAGUCCAAAACGGGUGGAUCACGAGGUCAGGAGUUUGAGACCAGCCUGGCCAACAUGGUGAAAUCCUGUCUCCACUAAAAAUACAAAAAAAAAAAAAAAAAAAAAAAUUAGCUGGGCGUGGUGGCGUAUGCCUGUAAUCCCAGCUACUCUGGAGGCUGAGUCAGGAUAAUUGCUUAAACCUGAGAGGCAGAGGUUGCAGUGAGCCAAGAUCAUGCCACAGCACUCCAGCCUGAGUGACAGAGCAAGAUAACGUCUUGAAAAAAAACCCAAAACAAAAAACAAACAAAAAAACCCAGGAUCUUGCUAUGUUGCCCAGGCUGGUCUCAAACACUUGGGCUCAAGCAGUCCUCCUGCCUCAGCCUCCCAAAGUGUUAGGAUUACAGGUGUGAGCCACUGCACCUGGCCUUUUAAAAAUUUUUUAAAUUUAAAUUUUUGUGAAUACAUAGUAGGUACAUAUGUAUGGGGUACAUGGGAUAGUUUGAUAAAGGCAUGCAAUGCAUAAUGAUCACAUUAUUAUGAUUAAGUAAAUGAGGUAUCUAUCACUUCAAUACAUUUAUUGUUUGUGUUAUAAACAAUCCAAUUAUACGCUUUAGUUAUUUUUAAAUGUACAGUUAAAUUAUUGACUACAGUCACCCUGUUGUGCUAUAAUAAAUACUAGAUCUUAUUCAUUCUUUCUAUUUUUUUGUACCUACUAACCAUUCCCACUUCCUCCCCAAUCUUCCCCCACUACCCUUCCUAGCCUCUGGUAAGCAUCAUUUACCCUGUUCUACUCUGUAUCUCCAUGAGUUUAAUUGUUUUAAUUUUUAGCUUCCACAAAUAAGUGAGAAUGCAAAGUUUGUCUUUCUGUGUCUGGCUUAUUUCACUUAACAUAACGACCUCCAGUUCCAUCCACACUGUUGCAAAUGACAGUAUCUUGUUCUUAUUUUAUGGCAGAAUAGUACACCAUUGUGUAUAAGUACCAUAUUUUCUUUAUCCAUUCAUCUGUUCACAGACACUUUGGUUGUUUCCAAAUCUUGUGAAUAGUGCUGCAGUAAACAUGCAAAUGCAGAUCUCUCUUUGAUAUACUGAUUUGCUUUUUUUUUGAGACAGCAUCUUGCUCCACUGCCUAGGCUCCUGGAGUGCAGUGGUGUGAUCAUGGCUCACUCAGGCCUCAACCUUAUGGGCUCAUGCAAUCCUCCUGCCUCAGCCUCCCAAGUAGAUGGGAUUAUAGGUGCGCAGCACCAUGCCCAGCUAAUUUUUAUAUUUUUUGUAGAGAUGAGGUUUUGGCAUGUUGCUCAGACUGGUCUUGAACUCCCGAGCUCAAGCAAUUCUCCUGCCUUGGUCUCCUACAGUGGUGGGAUUACAGGCAUGAGCCACUGCGCCCGACUGGAAUUUCCUUUGCUUUGGAUAGAAAACUAGCAGUGGGAUUGCUGGAUCAUAUGGUAGCUCUAUUUUUAGUUUUUUGAGGAGCCUCCAAACUGUUCUCCACAGUGAUUAUACUAAUUUACCUUCCCACCACCUGUGUACAAGGGUUCUCUUUUCUCCACAUCUUUGCCAGCAUUUGUGAUUGCCUGUCUUUUGGAUAAAAGCCAUUUUAACUGGAGUGAGAUGAUAUCUCAUCAUAGUUUUGAUUUGCAUUAUCUGGUGAUAAUGAUGUUGAGCACUUUUUCAUAUAUCUGUAUGCCUUUUGUAUGUCUUUUGAGAAAUGUUGAUUCUGAUAUUUUGCCCAUUUUUAAUCGGAUUAUUAGAUUUUUUCUUAUAGAGUUCUUAGAGCUCCUUAUAUAUUCUGGAUAUUGAUCCCUUGUCAUGUGAGUAGUUGAAAAUAUUUUCUUCUAUUCUGUGGGUUGUCUCUUCACUUUUUGUUGAUUGUUUCCUUUGCUGUGCAGAAGCUUUCUAACUUGAUGUGAUCCCAUUUGCCCAUUUCUGCUUUGGUUUCCUGUACUUAUGAGGUAUUAUUCAAGAAAUCUUUGCCCAGACUGAUGUCCUGGAGAGUUUCCCAAUGUUCUCUCUCUCUUUAUUGUUAUUAUUAUUAUACAUAAUAGUAUUUAAAAUAUUUUCUUUUAGUAGUUUCAUAGUUUGAGAUCUUAGAUUUCAGUCUUUAAUCCAUUUUGAUUUGAUUUUUGUAUAUGGAGAAAGAUAGGGGCCUAAUUUCAUUCUUUUGCAUAUAGAGAUCCAGUUUUCCCUGCACCAUUUAUUGAGGAGACUGCCUCUUCCCCAGUGUAUGUUCUUGGCACUUUGUCAAAAAUGAGUUCACUGUAGACGUACGGAUUUGUUUUGGGGUUCGCUGUUCUGUCCUAUUGGUCUAUGUGUCUGUCUGUUUUUAUGCCAGUACAAUGCUGUUUUGGUUACUAUAGCUCUGUAGAAGUCAGGUAAUGUGAUUCUUCCAGUUUUAUUCUUUUUGCUUAAAAUUUUCUGUUUUUUUUUUGUUGGUUUUUUUUUGUGUGUGGUUCCAUAUAAAUUUUAGGAUUGUUUUACCUUUUUUUCCCUCUUUUUGAGACAGGGACUCACUCUGUCACCCAGGCUGGAGUGCAGUGGCAUGAUCUCGGCUCACUGCAACCUCUGCCUCCUGGGCUCAGGUGACCCUCCCACCUCAGCCUUCCAAAUAGCUGGGACUACAGGCCUGUGCCACCAUACCCAUCUAAUUUUUGUAAUUUUUUUUAGUAGAAAGGAGGUUUUACCAUGUUGCCCACGUUGAAAUUUAGGAUUGUUUUUUUCUUUUUCUGUGGAGAACGUCAUUGGUAUUUUGAUAGGGAUUGCAUUGAAUCUGUAGAUUGCUUGGGUAGUGUGGACUUUUUAACAAUAUUGAUUCUUCCAAUCUAUGAAGAUGGAAUAUCUUUACGUUUUUUGAUGUCCUCUUCAAUUUCUUGCAUCAGUGUUUUAUAGUUUUCAUUAUAGAGAUCUUUCAUUUCUUUGGUUAAUUCCUAAGUGUUUAAUUUUAUUUGUGGCUAUUGUAAAUGGGAUUACUUUCUUGAUUUCUUUUUCAGAUUUCACUGUUGGCAUAUAGAAAUGCUACCGAUUUUGGUAUGUUGAAAUUGUUUCCUGUAACUUUAUUGAAUUUAUUUAAUAGUUUUUUGGUUGAGUCUUUAGGUUUUUCCAAAUAUAAGGUCAUAUCAUCUGCAAACAAGGGUAAUUUGACUUCUUCCUUUCAAUUUGGAUGAUCUUUAUUUAUUUCUCUUGUCUGAUACCUCCAGUGCUAUGUCGAAUAACAGAGGUGAAAGUGGGCACCUUUGUCAUGUUCCAGAUCUUAGAGAAAAGGCUUUCAGUCUUUCCCCAUUCAAUAUGAUAAUAGCUGUGGGUCUGUCAUAUAUGGCUUUUAUUAUGUUGAGAUAUGUUCCUUCUAUAUCCAGUUAUUUGAGGGUUUUAUCAUGACGGGAUGUUGAAUUUUAUCAAAUGCUUCUUCAACAUCAGUUGAAAGUAAUCACAUGGUUUUUGUCUUUCAAUCUGUUGAUAUGAUAUAUCCCAUUGAUUGAUUUCUAUAUGUUGAACUAUCCUUGAAUCUCUGGAGUAAAUCACACUUGUUCAUGAUGAAUGGUCUUUUGAAUGUGUUGUUGAAUUAGUAUCUUGUUGACGAUUUUCACAUCAAUAUCAGGGAUAUUGACCUAUAGUUUUCUUUUUAAAUGUGUAAUUGUCUGGUGUUGGUAUCGGGGUAAUACUGGCCUUGUGGCAUGAGCUUGGAAGUAUUCCUUCCUUCUUUAUUUUUUGGAAUAGUUUGAGUAGGAUUGAAGUUAAUUCUUCUUUUUUUUUUCUCCCCUCCCUGUCCCUCACCAAUCCCCUGCCCUACUCCGAUGUUAAUUCUUCUUUAAAUGUUUGGUAAAAUUCAGCAGUGAAGCCAUCGGGCCCAGGUCUUUUCUUUGCUGAGAGACCUUUUAUUAUGAAUGGCUUCAAUCUCAUUACUUGUUAUUGGUCUGUUCAGGUUGUGGGUUUCUUCAUGGUUUAAUCUUGGUAGAUUGUAAGUAUCUAGGAAUUUAUAAAUUUCUUCUAGAUUUUCCUAUUUAUUUAUUUUUAAUUAUUUAUCAAUUUUUUUUAUUUCCAUAGGUCUUUGGGGAACAGGUGGCAUUUGGUUACAUGAGUAAGUUCUUUAGUGGUGAUUUGUGAGAUUUUGGUGCACCCAUCACCCGAACAGUAUACACUGAACCCAAUUUGUAGUCUUUUAUUCCUCACCCGCUUUCCACCCUUUCCUCCUGAGUCCCCAAAGUUCACUGUGUUAUUCUUACACCUUUGCAUCCUCAUAACUUAGCUCUCACUUAUGAGUGAGAAUGUAUGAUGUUUAGUUUUCCAUUCCUGAGUUACUUCACUUAGAUUAAUAGUCUCCAAUCUAUCCAGGUUGCUAUGAAUGCUGUUAAUUUGUUCCUUUUUAUGGUUGAGUAGUAUUCCAUUGUAUAUAUAUAUAUACACCACAGUUUCUUUAUCCAUGCUAAAAAUGUGUGUGCCAAUCAAUGAAAAAUUUGUAGCUUAAAAAGACUACAAAAACAAGAGCUCAGGCCCUCUUGCCUCCCCCCCACCCAAAACAAUGAAAACUUACAAUUUAAACUCACAAAGCUUAUGAAACCUAUUACUAAUGAGACAGGAAACGUAGAGAAUCUUGAGAAAAACAUAGCUCAAGGUAAAAAAGGCCUUACUUUCAUAUAUAAUAUUAAUCCUGGCAAUAGAAGGGGAACAAAAGAUUGCAGCACUAAAAUUAAGAGAAAAUCCAACAUGCAAUUAAACUUUAUUAAAUAAAUAAAUCAAGAUAAUGAGGAAAAGUUUAUUGGUACCACUUUCAGUAAUACCAGAUAGUUUAUUUUUUUGAGAAUAACUAGAAAACUAGACAGAGUGAAAAGAAAAUAUGCUUGGCUGGGCGUGGUUGCUCACACUUGUUAAUCUCAGCACUUUGGGAGGCUAAGGCAGGCAGAUCACUUGAGGUCAAGAGUUCCAGACCAGCCUGGCCAACAUAGCGAAACCUCAUGUCUACUAAAAAUACAAAAAUUAGCUGGGUGUGGUGGUGCAUGCCUGUAUUUCCAGCUACUCAGGAGACAGAGGCAUGAGAAUCGGUUGAACCCAAGACGUGGAGGUUGCAGUGAGCCCAGAUCACGCCACUGCACUCCAGCCUGAGUAAUGGCGUGAGACUCUGUCUAAAAAAAAAAAAAAAGGAAAAGAAA
RNA transcript from Gorilla gorilla gorilla (western lowland gorilla), 8179 nucleotides. It is a transcript of the gene named AE binding protein 2, with no coding region annotated. The record is from RefSeq and is a predicted model, not a curated record. The transcript has 10 exons. Lineage: Eukaryota; Metazoa; Chordata; Mammalia; Primates; Hominidae.